Molecule: long non-coding RNA, 339 nt
Organism: Panthera uncia (snow leopard)
Lineage: Eukaryota; Metazoa; Chordata; Mammalia; Carnivora; Felidae
Exons: 3
Source: RefSeq, a predicted model, not a curated record
AGGUAGUGUUCCAUCAUGUGGAGGUAUAACAUUUGAUCCAUUCACCUGUUGAAGGGCAUUUGGAUUGUUUCACACAAAUGGGUAGACGUGCUUUGGUUCUCCCUGAUAUGUGGACAUUUACAAAGUAAUUUUGGGUAGUGGUCUACUUUUAAAAAGCUUCCAGAGAAUGGCCAUGGGUGAUGUUCCUGUCUUCACUAAGCACCUAAUGAACUCUCUAGGUCCUUGAGUCUACUCCUGGAUUAACGCGAGAUCCAGAAACUGUGGACCCAGCAACAGUAAGUGUCGAGGCCUGAGCCUCUUUCUAUCAUACUGCUACACAGCCAACCCAUUACAAAUGUA